Molecule: long non-coding RNA, 476 nt
Organism: Scomber scombrus (Atlantic mackerel)
Lineage: Eukaryota; Metazoa; Chordata; Actinopteri; Scombriformes; Scombridae
Exons: 3
Source: RefSeq, a predicted model, not a curated record
UAUCACUUCACAUUCAAAACACAAAGCUUUGAAUGGAGGAGUAGUUUACCUGGAACAACUCUGACUGUCACAGAGCCAAAUCUUCAAGUGCAGGUUAACAGAGUCAAUCGGUAUUCUUCCUGGGCAGAGCUGAAGUGUCACAGCAGCUGUCGUCUACCUGAUCGUUCUUCCUUCAUCUGGUACAAGAAUGGACAGAAAAUUCAGGAUAAAACAUCUUCUACUCAUGAAGGGUACUUUACUUCUGCAGACAGCUCUUAUUGUGCAUUACAAGGAUUUGAGCAUCAUCCUGCUCCUUCAGUGUGUGUCCAUGGUCAAUCCUGCAACAGAGUGAUUUACACUGACAGAAGCAUCUGUGCCUUCAGAGGCUCAUCAGUGGACAUUUCCUGCACAUACAGCAGUUAUGGAUCUAUCACAUCAUCAUUCUGGUUCAGUCCUGAUCGUAGUCGUCAGUGGCGGAAUCCCUCACAGCCUGAGGA